Molecule: ribosomal RNA, 545 nt
Filed under: uncultured metazoan
Lineage: Eukaryota; Metazoa
Description: SSU rRNA
Rfam family: Eukaryotic small subunit ribosomal RNA
Source: RNAcentral
UAUAUUUAAGUUGUUGCGGUUAAAAAGCUCGUAGUUGGAUCUUGGGCUCAGGCGGCCGGUCCGUCGCAAGGCGUGCACUGGCCGCACCUGGCCCUCCACCCCGGCGCUCCGCCGGUGCCCUUAACUGAGUGUCGGCGGCGGCCGGGACGUUUACUUUGAAAAAAUUAGAGUGUUCAAAGCAGGCGGCUUGCCUGGAUAAUGGUGCAUGGAAUAAUGGAAUAGGACCUCGGUUCUAUUUUGUUGGUUUUCGGAGCGCGAGGUAAUGAUCAAGAGGGACGGACGGGGGCAUUCGUACUGUGCCGCUAGAGGUGAAAUUCUUGGAUCGGCGCAAGACGAGCGACUGCGAAAGCAUUUGCCAAGAAUGUUUUCUUUAAUCAAGAGCGAAAGUCAGAGGUUCGAAGACGAUCAGAUACCGUCCUAGUUCUGACUAUAAACGAUGCCAACCAGCGAUCGGGGGGCGUUAGUUUGACGACCCCUCCGGCAGCUUGCGGGAAACCAAAGUCUUUGGGUUCCGGGGGAAGUAUGGUUGCAAAGCUGAAACUUAA